RNAcentral lists this ribosomal RNA (403 nucleotides) under uncultured Methanimicrococcus sp. RNAcentral describes it as "bacterial SSU rRNA". It matches the Rfam family "Archaeal small subunit ribosomal RNA", at positions 52 to 460 of the family's 1478-position model. The record is from RNAcentral. Lineage: Archaea; Methanobacteriati; Methanobacteriota; Methanomicrobia; Methanosarcinales; Methanosarcinaceae.
UGCGAGUCGUGAGUCUUAGGGACUCGGCGUACCGCUCAGUAACACGUGGGUAACCUGCCCUAUGCUGGGGAAUAACCUCGGGAAACUGAGAACAAUGCCCCAUAGUUCACCACGCCUGGAACGGUGGGUGGAUCAAAGCCCCGGCGGCAUAGGAUGGGCCUGCGGCGUAUCAGGUUGUAGGGGGUGUAAAGUACCCUCUAGCCGUCUACGCGUACGGGUGUUGGGAGACAUAGCCCGGAGAUGGAUUCUGAGACACGAAUCCAGACCCUACGGGGUGCAGCAGGCGCGAAAACUUGGCAAUGCGAGCAAUCGUGACCAGGGAACUCCAAGUGCAUCGGGUAAGACCGAUGCUUUCUUGACUCUUCAAAGGUCUUGGAAUAAGGGGUGGGUAAGGACGGUGCCA